This 873-nucleotide ribosomal RNA is filed under the name Cimex hemipterus. RNAcentral describes it as "SSU rRNA". It matches the Rfam family "Eukaryotic small subunit ribosomal RNA", at positions 477 to 1277 of the family's 1831-position model. The record is from RNAcentral. Lineage: Eukaryota; Metazoa; Arthropoda; Insecta; Hemiptera; Cimicidae.
ACGACACGGGACUCGAUCUGAGGCCUCGUAAUCGGAAUGAGUACACUCUAAAUCCUUUAACAAAAAUCUAUUGGAGGGCAAGUCUGGUGCCAGCAGCCGCGGUAAUUCCAGCUCCAAUAGCGUAUAUUAAAGUUGUUGCGGUUAAAAAGCUCGUAGUUGGUUCUGCGUCCCGCGCUGUCGGUACACCGUUUGUCGGUGACACUGGCAUGACGCGGGAUGUCCUGUCGGUGGCGGCGGAGACCAUAUCGUCGUCGGAUAACACCGCGGCGUGUUGGCCUUCUGUCGCCGGCUAUAUCCUACCGCGGUGCUCUUCACUGAGUGUCGAGGUAGGCCGACACGUUUACUUUGAACAAAUUAGAGUGCUUAAAGCAGGCAAAAAUCUCUGCCAGAAUAGUGGUGCAUGGAAUAAUGGAACAGGACCUUGGUUCUAUUCUGUUGGUCUCCGGAACACAAGGUAAUGAUCAAUGUGGACAGGCGGGGGCAUUCGUAUUGCGGCGUUAGAGGUGAAAUUCUUGGAUCGUCGCAAGACGCACUAGAGCGAAAGCAAUUGCCAAGUAUGUCUUAAUUGAUCAAGAACGAAAGUUAGAGGUUCGAAGGCGAUCAGAUACCGCCCUAGUUCUAACCAUAAACGAUGCCAGCCAGCGAUCCGCCGAUGUUCCUUUGAUGACUCGGCGGGGAGCUUUCCCCGGGAAACCAAAGCUUUUGGGUUCCGGGGGAAGUAUGGUUGCAAAGCUGAAACUUAAAGGAAUUGACGGAAGGGCACCACCAGAAGUGGAGCCUGCGGCUUAAUUUGACUCAACACGGGAAACCUCACCAGGUCAGGACAUUGGAAUGAUUGACAGAUUGAUAGCUCUUUCUUGAUUCAGUGUGGCC